RNAcentral lists this ribosomal RNA (382 nucleotides) under uncultured marine Chaetocerotaceae. RNAcentral describes it as "SSU rRNA". It matches the Rfam family "Eukaryotic small subunit ribosomal RNA", at positions 587 to 972 of the family's 1831-position model. The record is from RNAcentral. Lineage: Eukaryota; Bacillariophyta; Thalassiosirophyceae; Chaetocerotales; Chaetocerotaceae.
AGCUUCAGUAGCGUAUAUUAAAGUUGUUGCAGUUAAAAAGCUCGUAGUCGCAUUUCUGGCGAGAGGAUCCGGUCCGACCUUUUGGUGGGUUCUUGGGUCUCUUUCGCCAUCCUUGAGUGGUCCGUUCUGGCAUUAGGUUGUCGGAGCGUCAGCCGCUCAUCGUUUACUGUGAGAAAAUUAGAGUGUUCAAAGCAGGCUUAUGCCGUUGAAUAUAUUAGCAUGGAAUAAUAAGAUAGGACCUCGGUACUAUUUUGUUGGUUUGCGAGCCAAGGUAAUGAUGAACAGGGACAGUUGGGGGUAUUUGUAUUUCGUUGUCAGAGGUGAAAUUCUUAGAUUUACGAAAGACAAACUACUGCGAAAGCAUUUACCAAGGAUGUUUUCA